UUAGGGUUCUAGCCGCACGAACCCAUCAUAUAAUUGUUCGUGACAUUGUCAUAUAAUUGAGUAGAUACUUUUUUUGAAGAGUCGCGUUUGUCGAUGACAUCGUAAACCAUCAUCAAUCGAUAGCUUACAAAUUAUUGUGUCAUCAAAAUUUGGAGUUUUCCCAAAUCAGAUGGCCAAUUAUUUUCCACCUAAUUUACCAAGAGUUCCAAGUCAUGCACUCUGGAGUGAUUUACAAAUUAUAUAUCAUGAAGAAGAGAGUCUUUGGUAUUUUGACGAUGCAGGAAGCACAACUCUUUUCAAUAGAAGCUUGACUUAUGUGUACAUGAGUUUCAGAAUGGAAGACACCAUCUUAGAAACCCCUGUGCACAUUACUCAUGAGUUGACUUUUCACUGUAUAUGGAAUAUCCAUCGUCAUUUUCAGAAUCCUAUGCCUGAAAACUUGGGCAGAAGACAAGUGGGAGGAAUUGGUCGCUUAUAUCGACGACAAUUUGGUUUGGUUUAUCGGAGGAGAAGUCGUGGGCAUGGGCAGAGAGAAAUACCUAGGGAUUAGCUGUCCACAUCAGAUGGUUCUACUAUGCUUACUUAUCAUUCAUCUGAUCCUUAGGGAUAUGGCCUGAUGGUGGUUAAACAGGUACUCUAAUAGACAAGGUUGUAUUUUGUCGUCAUGACUAUUGUAGUGUCCAUCCUUUUUAAUCGUCGAGUCAUCGAUCUAUUUUGAUUGAUUUGAUAUAUUUUCUUAUGUUUUACUUGACUUACAUGGCAGAGCAAUAAAUAUCUUUUCCUUUAUCUA
Lathyrus oleraceus (garden pea) is the source of this 790-nucleotide long non-coding RNA. RefSeq lists it as uncharacterized. NCBI's taxonomy places the organism in Eukaryota, Viridiplantae, Streptophyta, Magnoliopsida, Fabales, Fabaceae. The transcript has 2 exons. The record is from RefSeq and is a predicted model, not a curated record.